GAUCCUGGCUUAGGAUUAACGCUGGCGGCGUGCCUAAUACAUGCAAGUCGAAUGGUAGCAAUACCAUGGCGAACGGGUGAGUAACACGUAGGUAACCUGUCUUUAAGCCGAGGAUAACCAUUGGAAACGAUGGAUAAUACUGGAUAGGAUAUUUUAAGGCAUCUUUUAAUAUUUAAAGAUUUAUCACUUAGAGAGGGGCCUGCGGCGCAUUAGCUAGUUGGUGAGGUGAAGGCUUACCCAAGGCGAUGAUGCGUAGCCGGACUGAGAGGUUGAACGGCCACAAUGGAACUGAGAACGGUCCAUACUCCUACGGGAGGCAGCAGUAGGGAAUUUUCGGCAAUGGGCGGAAGCCUGACCGAGCAACGCCGCGUGAACGAAGAAGUAUUUCGGUAUGUAAAGUUCUUUUAUUAGGGACGAAAAGACAGAUUGACGGUACCUAAUGAAUAAGCUCCGGCUAACUACGUGCCAGCCGCCGC
RNAcentral lists this ribosomal RNA (476 nucleotides) under uncultured bacterium. Its description in RNAcentral is "bacterial SSU rRNA". It matches the Rfam family "Bacterial small subunit ribosomal RNA", at positions 15 to 518 of the family's 1533-position model. The record is from RNAcentral.